CAGUAGCCGCGGGAAUACGUAGGUGGCAAGCGUUGUCCGGAAUUAUUGGGCGUAAAGGGCGCGUAGGCGGACUGAUAAGUCAGGGGUGAAAUCCCAAGGCUCAACCUUGGAACUGCCUUUGAUACUGUUUGUCUUGAGUUCGAGAGAGGUAAGUGGAACUGCGAGUGUAGAGGUGAAAUUCGUAGAUAUUCGCAAGAACACCAGUGGCGAAGGCGGCUUACUGGCUCGAAACUGACGCUGAGGCGCGAAAGCGUGGGGAGCAAGCAGGAUUAGAUACCCCGGUAGUCCCUGUCUCUUAUAU
Molecule: ribosomal RNA, 301 nt
Filed under: uncultured bacterium
Lineage: Bacteria
Description: partial 16S ribosomal RNA
Rfam family: Bacterial small subunit ribosomal RNA
Source: RNAcentral